AAGACUAUAGACCUGCGGAGUACCUGCGGAGGGAUCAUUGCAAAUCCGUGGUGGAGACGAGUUGAAAUACAAGCCGACCACUUUCGGGACCACCGCCCCGCCAGGGGAGGUGGUACUGGAGUGGCUGGCGAUGCAGACGCUAGUAGUAGUGGGUGGUGGUGGGUUGGGGGGUUAGGGAUUGUCUCUACCACUCACCGACACCACGCCUACGAAGCGCGCCUCGCAUUCUUACUACUGAUA
RNAcentral lists this unclassified non-coding RNA (240 nucleotides) under soil metagenome. RNAcentral describes it as "partial contains 5.8S ribosomal RNA, internal transcribed spacer 2, and large subunit ribosomal RNA". The record is from RNAcentral.